AGAGUGGAGCAUCUGCUACAACUGGUAGCCUGUCCUAAACAAAUCACGGUCACCCAAAGUCCACAGUAAACACCAGGGCUUUGUAAACACUUGGUUUGUAUACACUUGUCCAGGGGUAGACGUGGGUCUACCACUGUAGGGUUGCACAGAGAGCAUGUCUAUCUCUCCAUCCUGCUCAGCCCUUGUGGCACUGAUCUCCCUUUUUUCUAGAAUGACAUCUACUUAGGAUCACUUGCCAGGUCCCAUCAUUUCCCCAGAUUUGAAGUCAGACAUCGUCCCUUUUAGGACCUUCCUGGCCAUCCCUGGAUAUCACUGCAGACUCAGGCCUUUGCAUCCAGACAGACCGACAGACAGAAAGUGUGUUCAGAAGAGAGGUGGCAGCAAAGCUGGGAAGAGGACUGCAGGAGACAGACGGAGUAGCGGCCUGGCUGUGGUCCUGGAGGCAAUGGAGUCCAAGCGGCAGAAUCAGACAGAGUACACAGCUGGAGGAGAGCUCUUCAAUUUUACCUAAGCUCAUCUCUUAGACCCAAGAAAGCCAAAGUCUGAAGAAUGACAAUCAAAGAGCCCCAUUACCCUUUGUAAUCAGACCCCCUCCCCUGCAACCUGGCUUUAUAAAUAAAGUUUUAUUGGCAUAGA
Molecule: long non-coding RNA, 636 nt
Organism: Apodemus sylvaticus (European woodmouse)
Lineage: Eukaryota; Metazoa; Chordata; Mammalia; Rodentia; Muridae
Exons: 4
Source: RefSeq, a predicted model, not a curated record